This 395-nucleotide ribosomal RNA is filed under the name uncultured bacterium. RNAcentral's name for it is "bacterial SSU rRNA". It matches the Rfam family "Bacterial small subunit ribosomal RNA", at positions 28 to 418 of the family's 1533-position model. The record is from RNAcentral.
GACGAACGCUGGCGGCGUGCUUAACACAUGCAAGUGGAGCGACGAACCGGGGCUUGCCCCGGGGCAGAGCCGCGAACGGGUGAGUAACACGUGGGUAACCCACCCCGAUGACCGGGACAACCCGAGGAAACUCGGGCUAAUACCGGAUGUGCUCCUUGACCUCGAGGUCAAGGCGUAAAGAUAGCUUCGGCCUUCGCAUCGGGACGGGCCCGCGGCCCAUUAGCUUGUUGGUGGGGUAAAGGCCUACCAAGGCGACGAUGGUAGCUGGUCUGAGAGGACGAUCAGCCACACUGGGACUGAGACACGGCCCAGACUCCUACGGGAGGCAGCAGUGGGGAAUCUUGCGCAAUGCGCGAAAGCGUGACGCAGCAACGCCGCGUGGGGAAGACGGCCUC